This 301-nucleotide ribosomal RNA is filed under the name uncultured bacterium. Its description in RNAcentral is "partial 16S ribosomal RNA". It matches the Rfam family "Bacterial small subunit ribosomal RNA", at positions 509 to 807 of the family's 1533-position model. The record is from RNAcentral.
CAGCCGCCGCGGUAAUACGAAGGGGGCUAGUGUUGCUCGGAAUGACUGGGCGUAAAGGGCGCGUAGGCGGCGAUCAAAGUCAGGCGUGAAAUUCCUGGGCUCAACCUGGGGGCUGCGUUUGAUACUUGGUUGCUUGAGUGGGGAAGAGGGUCGUGGAAUUCCCAGUGUAGAGGUGAAAUUCGUAGAUAUUGGGAAGAACACCGGUGGCGAAGGCGGCGACCUGGUCCUUUACUGACGCUGAGGCGCGAAAGCGUGGGGAGCAAACAGGAUUAGAUACCCGCGUAGUCCCUGUCUCUUAUAC